AGCAGCAGCCGCGGGAAUAUAGAGGGUGCGAGCGUUAAUCGGAUUUACUGGGCGUAAAGCGUGCGUAGGCGGCUUCUUAAGUCGGAUGUGAAAUCCCUGAGCUUAACUUAGGAAUUGCAUUCGAUACUGGGAAGCUAGAGUAUGGGAGAGGAUGGUAGAAUUCCAGGUGUAGCGGUGAAAUGCGUAGAGAUCUGGAGGAAUACCGAUGGCGAAGGCAGCCAUCUGGCCUAAUACUGACGCUGAGGUACGAAAGCAUGGGGAGCAAACAGGAUUAGAUACCCCCGUAGUCCCUGUCUCUUAUAC
RNAcentral lists this ribosomal RNA (303 nucleotides) under uncultured bacterium. Its description in RNAcentral is "partial 16S ribosomal RNA". It matches the Rfam family "Bacterial small subunit ribosomal RNA", at positions 507 to 807 of the family's 1533-position model. The record is from RNAcentral.